GACGAACGCUGGCGGCGUGCUUAACACAUGCAAGUCGAACGGAAAGGCCCCCAUCUUGGUGGGGGUGCUCGAGUGGCGAACGGGUGAGUAACACGUGGGUGAUCUGCCCUGUACUUCGGGAUAAGCUUGGGAAACUGGGUCUAAUACCGGAUAGGACCAUGGUUUAGUGUCUCAUGGUGGAAAGAUUAUUGUUUUGGUGCAGGAUGAGCUCGCGGCCUAUCAGCUUGUUGGUGGGGUAAUGGCCUACCAAGGCGUCGACGGGUAGCCGGCCUGAGAGGGUGGACGGCCACAUUGGGACUGAGAUACGGCCCAGACUCCUACGGGAGGCAGCAGUGGGGAAUAUGGCACAAUGGGCGCAAGCCUGAUGCAGCGACGCCGCGUGGGGGAUGACGGCCUUCGGGUUGUAAACUCCUUUCGUUAGGGACGAAGCCGCACUUUUUUUGGGUGUGGUGACGGUACCUUUGUUAAGAAGCACCGGCUAACUACGU
This 488-nucleotide ribosomal RNA is filed under the name uncultured bacterium. RNAcentral's name for it is "partial 16S ribosomal RNA". It matches the Rfam family "Bacterial small subunit ribosomal RNA", at positions 28 to 506 of the family's 1533-position model. The record is from RNAcentral.